Small nuclear RNA from Athalia rosae (coleseed sawfly), 143 nucleotides. RefSeq annotates it as U1 spliceosomal RNA. The record is from RefSeq and is a predicted model, not a curated record. NCBI's taxonomy places the organism in Eukaryota, Metazoa, Arthropoda, Insecta, Hymenoptera, Athaliidae. The transcript has a single exon.
GUACUUGCCUGGCCGCAGAUCCUACAAGCUAGGUCUCUCCCUCGCACUUCGGUGGAGCUGGGCCUCGCGAGUACGCCUAAUAUGGGAACAUCUAUUGUGCGUAAUAUUCUUGUUGGUCGGGACUGCGUUCGCGCUGUACCGAA